RNAcentral lists this ribosomal RNA (975 nucleotides) under Nigidius lewisi. Its description in RNAcentral is "partial 16S ribosomal RNA". The record is from RNAcentral. Lineage: Eukaryota; Metazoa; Arthropoda; Insecta; Coleoptera; Lucanidae.
UAUAAAAAUUUCCCGAAUUUUUUAAGAGCUAAAAGGUUAUGGAUUUUGAUGUGGAAUAAUUAUUUAUAAUAAGGUUUUUGGAGUGAGAUUUUAGUCGUUUUGAAAUAUAUCUGGUUUUUUAAGAAAUAAGUUUAAUUUACUUAAGUUGUAAAAUAUUUUUUUUAAAAAUUAAUUUUAGGAUUUAGGGAAUAUUUAUAGGGAUAAGCUUGUAAAUAUAAUUUUAUAGAUUAUUAAUAGAGAAAUAUUAAAUAGAAUUAGAAGUGUUCAUUUUUUGGAGUUUGUAAUAAAACAAAUUUUUUUUUUUAUGAUUUCUUUUUUUUUUAAAUUGUUUAUUAAAAUAAAUAAAUUAAUUGAUUAUUUAAUGAAAUAAUGAUUAAAUUAGUAUAUUUAAUGUGUAAUUAUGUGAACUUUAAAGUUAAGGUAAAGGAACUCGGCAAAUUUACUUUCUGCCUGUUUAUUAAAAACAUGGUUUUUUGGGAUAAUUUAAGAUCUGACCUGCCCAAUGAUUAAUUUAAUGGCCGCGGUAUAUUGACCGUGCAAAGGUAGCAUAAUCAUUAGUUUUUUAAUUGAAAGCUGGAAUGAAUGGUUUGACAAGAAAGUAGCUGUCUCUAUUUUAUUUUUAUUAGAAUUUUAUAUUUAAGUGAGAAAGCUUAAAUUUAGUUGAGGGACGAGAAGACCCUUUAGAAUUUUAUAUUACUUUUGGUUAAAAUUUAUAGAAUAUUUAAUUUUAAUUGAAAUGGAAUAUUUUGUUGGGGUGAUGGGAAAAUUUAAUAAACUUUUUUUUAUUUAAGUUCAUUAAUUUAUGAAUAUAUGAUCCAUUAUAUUAUGAUUGUAAGAUUAAAUUACCUAAGGGAUAACAGCGUUAUUAAUUUGGAGAGUUCAAAUCGAUGAAUUAGUUUGCGACCUCGAUGUUGGAUUAAAAUUAACAAUAGGUGUAGUAGCUUAUUAGUUAGGUCUGUUCGACUUUUAAAAUUU